RNAcentral lists this ribosomal RNA (257 nucleotides) under uncultured bacterium. Its description in RNAcentral is "partial 16S ribosomal RNA". It matches the Rfam family "Bacterial small subunit ribosomal RNA", at positions 524 to 775 of the family's 1533-position model. The record is from RNAcentral.
UACGUAGGGCGCAAGCGUUUAUCCGGAAUUAUUGGGCGUUAAAGAGCUCGUAGGCGGUCUGUCGCGUCUGACUGUGAAAACCCGAGGCUCGACCUCGGGCCUGCAGGUGGGGUACGGGCAGACUAGAGUGCGGUAGGGGAGAAUGGAAUUCCUGGUGUAGCGGUGGGAUGCGCAGAUAUCAGGAGGAACACCGAUGGCGAAGGCAGUUCUCUGGGCCGUAACUGACGCUGAGGAGCGAAAGCGUGGGGAGCGAACGG